UUUUUUUUUUUUUUUAAAGAUAUUAUUUAUUUAUUCAUGAGAGAUAUGAGGGGUGGGGGCCGAGACACGGGCAGAGGGAGAAGCAGGCUCCAUGCAGGGAGCCCGACAUGGGACUCCAUCCUGGGACUCCAGGAUCACGCCUUGGGCCGAAGGCAGGCGCUUAACCGCUGAGCCACCCAGGGAUCCCCUGAAGUUCUAGUCUUAACAAUAAUGACAUGAUGUGGUUUCACUUGUCCCCAUCUUACAGAUGGGAAAUUGAAGCAGGGCAGAUUAAGUAACUCAAGAUCACACAGUUAUUGGGUGGUAGAGUCACGAUUCGGGCCCAAUUAGUUUGGUUUCAGAGCCCUUGCUUUUUAGCCACUAGGCAAUAUGCAAAAUAUUAUAUGUGGAUAUAAUGAUAUUAAAAUAAAUUAUAGGCCUUAAGGGGGGAGAGCUAAAUGCUAUGGAAAUUGAUACUUCUAGUUGCUGUGAAACGACUUUAUAUUUAAAUUUUUUAAAAAGUAAAAAAAAAAAAUGAGAAAGCAAAGAAUGUUGAUAGUGGUAAUACUUUUACUCUGUGUGAUUCCUAUUUUAAGCUGGGUCCUUCUGUGGGACACAGAGAGGUCUGUGUGUGUGUGAAUUGUCCUACGUAUAUGCUUUGCAGCAUUCAUUCGUUGUAUUGACCAUGCCAGACAUUGAACUAGAUGCCUCAGGGGCAGAGUACGUGUAAUCCUGCUCCAAAGAACUUACCUGGUUGAAGGAAGUGAUUCUAGGGGUUGUCUCAAGAGAACACAUAGAAAGGGGCAUCAACUCUGCAAAGAGGUGGGAAAGUGGGCCAGCCAGGCUGAAAAGGUUUGGAGGAGGAUCUUUGAGAUGAAGAGUAGGUGUCUGCUAGUAGAGUGUUGUAGGAAGGCCAUUGCCCCAGAAGGCAAAGGCAAGGACCUUUUGGGAAACUGCAAGUAGUUCAGAGUAGGCGGGGGUUGUAGAGAGAUGGACAGAGGAAGAAGAUGGGGCUAGAGGAAAAUUGAGAAUGUUCCUGUAAGUACAGUUGACCUUUGAACAACGUGGGUUUGAACUGCGCUGUCCACUUAGGUGUAGAUUUUUCUUUGAUAGAUACAUUACAAUAUUGCAAAUGUAUUUUCCUCACAACUUUCUUAACAUUUUUUUUCUCCAGCUUACUUUAUUGUCAGAAUAUAGUAUAUAAUACAUGUAUCAUACAAAAUAUGUGUUAAUCAGCUCUUUAUGUUAUCAGCACCUUCAACAGUAGGCUGUAAGUGGUUAAGUUUUGGGGGAGUCAAAAAUUACACACAGAUUUUUAGACUGCCUGGGGAUUGGCUCCCCUAACUCCUAUGUUGUUCAAAGGGCCAGAAUGUCAGAAUGCUGUUUAAGAGUUGUAAGUGGAGAUGACACUUUGAUCUAAUUCGUAUUUUAUGAAAGAUCAUCUGGCCACCAUGUGGGCUGUUGACCAGAGGCAAUCAAGACCAAUGUAGGGAAGGUAGUUAUGGAAACUCACAUGAGCCAUAAGAUGAAGCUCUAAAUGGAAGGAAUAGAAGGUGGAAAUGGAACAAAAAGGAAUAAGAGAGGGGUGAGACAGCAUAUGAGGGGUGUGCAGAAGAAGGGUCCUGGAAAUUAGGUGGAAAGAGACACGUAGCAGGUAAUAAAGAAAAAGAGAGGGCACAUGUGUAAAAUGAUGAGUUUAUCAUGGCCACUUGGGGCUUUUGGGUCAGGGUGUGUCGUAGGCAGUUGAAUAUUUGGGUCUGGAGGGAUGACUAGGACUUAAAUAUAAGUCUGUUAGCAGCAAAUCAGAAACUCCUUGAAACAAUGGAUGUGGGCAAUAUCGUGGAGGGAGUUUGUAGGAGACUCGCCGAGGAAUGGAGGAGGAAGAGGAGCCCAGGUCCCCAAUGGGAGGGGAACAGCCAGAGAGUUGAAAAGGCCCAGGGGAGAAAAUAUAGACCAUUCUCAAAAUACAAUGGUGGUACACAGUUAAGACCAGGGGAAGUGCAGCAUGUUUCAACACCAGGGGAGAGAGCUGUCCCUGAUCCCCAGGAGGGGAGGGUUAUGCCCCACAGAUUAAGCACAGUUAAGAAUGAAAACUGUAGUUUGGUUUUUUUUAAGAUUUUAUAUAUUUAUUUGACAGAGCAAGUGAGAGCACACAAGCAUGGGGAGCUGCAGGCAGAGGGAGAAGGAGAAGCAGGGGGCCUGAUGCAGGGCUCGAUCCCAGGAUCCUGAGCUGAGCCCAAGGCAGAUGCCUAACUGACUGAGCCACCCAGGCGCCCCUGGAAAGUGUGGUUUGAUUUAGCACCAGAGAUCUCUGAAUCCGGCCACAGCAGCACCAGGGGAAUAAGGAACGGAAGUCGAGCACUCUGCUGCUCCCCAGACCAAGGCAAAGACAUCAGAACCACAGAACGUGUAACCAUAAGGGACUAGAGAUCACGGAGUCCAGCAUGUCUGUUUACUUACAAGGAAACAUGAGGCCCAGAGAGGCCAAGUGACUUGUCUAAGGUGGAGAGUCACCACUUAAAAGCCGGACGUCAGGUGAGGGGCUUGGUCCUGGCUCCCCUCCAGCUGCGUGAACCGGGCCAAGUUACCUAAACUCUCCGUGCCUCCCUUUUUUCCACCCUUACAUUGGAGAUAAUAGUUCCUUCCUCAGAGCUUUGCUGUGAGGAGUCAGUGAGAUAAUAAAUGUAGAGCAGUCGGGAUAGUGCCCCACACGUGGAGACGCUGGGAGUGUGCUGCUGCUGUUCCGUGUGUGUGUGUGUGUGUGUGUGCGUACACACAUCCGUGUAGCAUAUUUACAUACGUAUCCCUUAGGGAAGGGAGGAUGAAGAGGUACUGUCUGCACGAAAAGAAAUUGUGAAUAUUUUAGAAAGAGAUUUGGGCGACUGGUCAGGUCUUGGGUCAAGAAUUAUUGGAAAGGUAGGAAAGUUUAUAUAGUAUGACUGAAAAACAGCAUGUUGAGUAAGUUUUCCUGAGAAACGCAGAGCCUUUUUUAUUCUUGAGAAUAGAAAACAUAAAAGCACUUUGAAGUUAGCCCUAUCAAAGAGUGUCUUGGUUUUAGUCAGACAACCAGAAUUUUAACCUAGUUAUGAUGCAAAUCCUUUGAAUUUGACUUAGGAAUUUCAUCAGACUUCCUGAAGGCAGAGACUACAGAGAAAACGUGAGUUAUGACUUUUAGGCACUUGGUUCUUACGAGAAUAGGGUGAUUUGGAUUAUUUCGAGAAAUAUCCUUUUUUUUCCCCUCAAUGUAGCAAAUCUAAUUUUUAGCUGCCAAAACACCCGAGUAGCCCAAACACUAUUACCCCAAUGGACUUGGGUGACAGGCAGUAUAGACAGCCUAGGAAUAAGUGGCACUCUGGACUUGAUUAGAACACAGUAAUCCUAGAAGGAUAUAAAUUGAACUGGAUUUAUGGUCUAAUAAAAACGUGGGAAGAAAAGAUAAUGCUUACUGACUCAUGAAACUUUAACAACGUUUGUGAGGCUCUGAGUUGUCGUAAUGUUUGGAUGAGAGCAUUUUCCCAUUCGUCUCAGCGCUUCCAGGAUGACCUACAGGAUGUAAAGCUGACUUGGGUCCAUCCUGGGUAUUUUUAGGAAGCAGAGAUCACCACGUUAUUUCUGCCCUUGUAGACCUGUGGCCUCAGGCAGCCCCUUGUUGGUUUGGACAAAUAUGUGUCGAACAUCAAUUAACUAUAAAUUUGGGGGAGAAAAAUGUACAGUGUGGGAAAGUCUUAGCCCAUUGCUUAUUUCAAUUCGUAAGGCUUCUUCUGACGGCUGCUUAUUUCUGGCCUUCUGAUAAUGUCAAAAAAAAAAAAAAAAAAAA
This 3796-nucleotide long non-coding RNA is filed under the name Canis lupus familiaris (dog). RNAcentral describes it as "lncRNA (ENSCAFG00845018189.1)". The record is from RNAcentral. Lineage: Eukaryota; Metazoa; Chordata; Mammalia; Carnivora; Canidae.